Telopea speciosissima is the source of this 201-nucleotide long non-coding RNA. RefSeq lists it as uncharacterized. The record is from RefSeq and is a predicted model, not a curated record. NCBI's taxonomy places the organism in Eukaryota, Viridiplantae, Streptophyta, Magnoliopsida, Proteales, Proteaceae. The transcript has 3 exons.
UGUAGCAUCAUAGUUAUCCAAUGAAAACAAAAGGAAAAAAAGAGAAUUUUUGUUUUUUAACAGUCUGGGGAAUGGAAACGGAACUUCCUUUUGGUUCUCCCCGAAAACAACCAUCUUUUUUUAAACCCAUUUUAAAAGAACUCGAAAAAAAAAAUUCAAAAAAAAUGGAUUACCAAUUAGAUCGGUAUUUAAUUAUUAAAU